This 2443-nucleotide ribosomal RNA is filed under the name Escherichia coli. RNAcentral's name for it is "bacterial LSU rRNA". It matches the Rfam family "Bacterial large subunit ribosomal RNA", at positions 515 to 2925 of the family's 2925-position model. The record is from RNAcentral. Lineage: Bacteria; Pseudomonadati; Pseudomonadota; Gammaproteobacteria; Enterobacterales; Enterobacteriaceae.
CGAAAAGAACCCCGGCGAGGGGAGUGAAAAAGAACCUGAAACCGUGUACGUACAAGCAGUGGGAGCCUCUUUAUGGGGUGACUGCGUACCUUUUGUAUAAUGGGUCAGCGACUUAUAUUCUGUAGCAAGGUUAACCGAAUAGGGGAGCCGAAGGGAAACCGAGUCUUAACUGGGCGUUAAGUUGCAGGGUAUAGACCCGAAACCCGGUGAUCUAGCCAUGGGCAGGUUGAAGGUUGGGUAACACUAACUGGAGGACCGAACCGACUAAUGUUGAAAAAUUAGCGGAUGACUUGUGGCUGGGGGUGAAAGGCCAAUCAAACCGGGAGAUAGCUGGUUCUCCCCGAAAGCUAUUUAGGUAGCGCCUCGUGAAUUCAUCUCCGGGGGUAGAGCACUGUUUCGGCAAGGGGGUCAUCCCGACUUACCAACCCGAUGCAAACUGCGAAUACCGGAGAAUGUUAUCACGGGAGACACACGGCGGGUGCUAACGUCCGUCGUGAAGAGGGAAACAACCCAGACCGCCAGCUAAGGUCCCAAAGUCAUGGUUAAGUGGGAAACGAUGUGGGAAGGCCCAGACAGCCAGGAUGUUGGCUUAGAAGCAGCCAUCAUUUAAAGAAAGCGUAAUAGCUCACUGGUCGAGUCGGCCUGCGCGGAAGAUGUAACGGGGCUAAACCAUGCACCGAAGCUGCGGCAGCGACGCUUAUGCGUUGUUGGGUAGGGGAGCGUUCUGUAAGCCUGUGAAGGUGUACUGUGAGGUAUGCUGGAGGUAUCAGAAGUGCGAAUGCUGACAUAAGUAACGAUAAAGCGGGUGAAAAGCCCGCUCGCCGGAAGACCAAGGGUUCCUGUCCAACGUUAAUCGGGGCAGGGUGAGUCGACCCCUAAGGCGAGGCCGAAAGGCGUAGUCGAUGGGAAACAGGUUAAUAUUCCUGUACUUGGUGUUACUGCGAAGGGGGGACGGAGAAGGCUAUGUUGGCCGGGCGACGGUUGUCCCGGUUUAAGCGUGUAGGCUGGUUUUCCAGGCAAAUCCGGAAAAUCAAGGCUGAGGCGUGAUGACGAGGCACUACGGUGCUGAAGCAACAAAUGCCCUGCUUCCAGGAAAAGCCUCUAAGCAUCAGGUAACAUCAAAUCGUACCCCAAACCGACACAGGUGGUCAGGUAGAGAAUACCAAGGCGCUUGAGAGAACUCGGGUGAAGGAACUAGGCAAAAUGGUGCCGUAACUUCGGGAGAAGGCACGCUGAUAUGUAGGUGAAGCGACUUGCUCGUGGAGCUGAAAUCAGUCGAAGAUACCAGCUGGCUGCAACUGUUUAUUAAAAACACAGCACUGUGCAAACACGAAAGUGGACGUAUACGGUGUGACGCCUGCCCGGUGCCGGAAGGUUAAUUGAUGGGGUUAGCGGUAACGCGAAGCUCUUGAUCGAAGCCCCGGUAAACGGCGGCCGUAACUAUAACGGUCCUAAGGUAGCGAAAUUCCUUGUCGGGUAAGUUCCGACCUGCACGAAUGGCGUAAUGAUGGCCAGGCUGUCUCCACCCGAGACUCAGUGAAAUUGAACUCGCUGUGAAGAUGCAGUGUACCCGCGGCAAGACGGAAAGACCCCGUGAACCUUUACUAUAGCUUGACACUGAACAUUGAGCCUUGAUGUGUAGGAUAGGUGGGAGGCUUUGAAGUGUGGACGCCAGUCUGCAUGGAGCCGACCUUGAAAUACCACCCUUUAAUGUUUGAUGUUCUAACGUUGGCCCCUGAUCGGGGUUGCGGACAGUGUCUGGUGGGUAGUUUGACUGGGGCGGUCUCCUCCUAAAGAGUAACGGAGGAGCACGAAGGUUGGCUAAUCCUGGUCGGACAUCAGGAGGUUAGUGCAAUGGCAUAAGCCAGCUUGACUGCGAGCGUGACGGCGCGAGCAGGUGCGAAAGCAGGUCAUAGUGAUCCGGUGGUUCUGAAUGGAAGGGCCAUCGCUCAACGGAUAAAAGGUACUCCGGGGAUAACAGGCUGAUACCGCCCAAGAGUUCAUAUCGACGGCGGUGUUUGGCACCUCGAUGUCGGCUCAUCACAUCCUGGGGCUGAAGUAGGUCCCAAGGGUAUGGCUGUUCGCCAUUUAAAGUGGUACGCGAGCUGGGUUUAGAACGUCGUGAGACAGUUCGGUCCCUAUCUGCCGUGGGCGCUGGAGAACUGAGGGGGGCUGCUCCUAGUACGAGAGGACCGGAGUGGACGCAUCACUGGUGUUCGGGUUGUCAUGCCAAUGGCACUGCCCGGUAGCUAAAUGCGGAAGAGAUAAGUGCUGAAAGCAUCUAAGCACGAAACUUGCCCCGAGAUGAGUUCUCCCUGAGACUUUAAGUCUCCUGAAGGAACGUUGAAGACGACGACGUUGAUAGGCCGGGUGUGUAAGCGCAGCGAUGCGUUGAGCUAACCGGUACUAAUGAACCGUGAGGCUUAACCUUACAACGCCGAAG